CUAGUGGCGCAAUACCAGGGGGGCACUAGGGGUCACGUGAGGAACGGAAGGAAGCUAUGCUUGGGGGACCAGGAAUAAAGUACAAGUCAAUGCUUCCCGUGAGUCUGAGUCAAGUCGAUACAUUACAACUGGUGAAGAGGAUAUGGAAAUAAAAUAAACCUUAUCCACUCAAGAAGCUGGUUUGAUGUGCAUUCCGACCCAGCCAGUGUUGGUUUGUGAUGGGCGAAAUGGAUUAAUAGUUUCAAACUGUUCAUCACUGCUUCAGGAGUCAAAGAUGCAGCACGGAAACAAGCUCUUUUAUUGCACUUGGGAGGCUCGGAUGUGCAGGAUAUAUUCACCACGUUAGAUGACACGGGGGAAGACAAGGACUAUGAGAUGCCGUUGACAAAGCUAAACGAGUACUUCACUCCACAAAAAAACAUUCCCUACAAGAGACCUUUGUUUAGGAAAGCUGAAAAAGCACAGGGGGAUCAGUGGAGACGUUUGUGAGCAGACAAACAGUUGGCUGCUAUAUGUGACUAUGGAUAUUUCAAAGACUAUUUCAUAAGGGACCAAGUGAUUGACAAGUGUCACUCAAAUGUGUUGCGCAAAUGGGUUCACAGCAACAUUCAGUCAUUUGCAGACCAAAUGCAUUGUGCAAUUAAAACCAACAUCCAAGAGACUUUACCCAUAUGGUUUGUCACAAUCAUUAGCAGUUGAGGGCCUGCUCAAUGCCAAUAUUACAGCAGUUGUUCGUUCUGAGUCAGUCACUGCAGACAUUCUAGUCGUGAAAGAUGCACAGACAUCUGUACUGGAAAAUAAAUCAGCAGUUGCUCUUGGCAUUUUGCACAUAGGGCCAAAGGCACACAAACUCAGUCCAAGAUUAUGACACACAGACACUCAAAGCUGCACUCCAGGAGGAAUACAAAGACUGUUUCAGAGGGCUGUAAAAACUGAAAGAUUUCCAGUUAGGAAUUAAUGGAGAUGAGACUCACACCAGUUGCACAGCCAGUACGCUGAAUACCAUUCAGUGUCAGGAAGCUAGUUGAAGAGUAGACAAACGAGCUAGAGGACUUGGAUGUUAUUAAUAAAGCAAAUGGACCUACACCAUGGGUGCCCCCAUUAGUUGUAGUACACAAGAAAACGGGUGUCAUCAGAGUAUGUGUUGACAUGCGUAGAGCAAAUUAAGCUGUUGUGCGGGAGUGACACCUCAUCCCACCAUCAAAUCAAUCAAAUGUAUUCAUAUAGCCCUUCUUACAUCAGCUGAUAUCUCAAAGUGCUGUACAGAAACCCAGCCUAAAACCCCAAACAGCAAGCAAUGCAGGUGUAGAAGCACGGUGGCUAGGAAAAACUCCCUAGAAAGGCCAAAACCUAGGAAGAAACCUAGAGCGGAACCAGGCUAUGAGGGGUGGCCAGUCCUCUUCUGGCUGUGCCGGGUGGAGAUUAUAACAGCACAUGGCCAAGAUGUUCAUCAAUGACCAGCAUGGUCAAAUAAUAAUAAUCAUAGUAGUUGUCGAGGGUGCAACAAGUCAGUAAAACAAGAGUAAGUGUCAGUUGGUCCUAUGGUCCUAGGGCUCAGGUCCUCCGAGAGAGAGAAAGAAAGAAAGAGAGAAAGAGAGAAUUAGAGAGAGCAUAUUUAAAUUCACACAGGACACCAGAAAAGACAAGAGAAAUACCCCAGAUGUGACAGACUGACCCUAGCCCCCCAACACAUAAACUACUGCAGCAUAAAUACUGGAGGCUGAGACAGGAGGGGUCAGGAGACACUGUGGCCCCAUCCGAUGAAACCCCUGGACAGGGCCAAACAGGUAGGAUAUAACCCCACCCACUUUGCCAAAGCACAGCCCCCACACCACUGGAGGGAUAUCUCCAGGAGGAAUACAACGAGAUCCUGGAGGAUGUCAAGAGCUGAGGUCUUCUCAAAACUGGACCUAAGGUGGGGAUAUCAUCAGAUCAAACUGAAACCUGAGUCUCGUUCCCUAACCACAUUUGUGACUCACACAGGUUUGUGGCGCAACAAGAAACUAAUGUUCGGUGUUUCCUCUGCUCCAGACACAUAUUAGCACAUCGUCCGUCAAGUCCUACAAGACAUCAAGGGGGUCCACAACAUCUUAGAUGUCAUUGUGUUUGGGAAGAACGCAUAAGAACACAACAAACGACUACACCAAGUCCUGAGACGGCUGCAGGAGAGGGGGCUCACCCUCAACAGUGACACAUGUGAAUUCCAAUUGAUGGAGAUGGAGUUCAUGGGCCAAGUUCUCUUGAAGAACAGCAUCAGAGCAGCACAGUCAAAGGUGGAAGCGGUGCAGAGAACACGCAGCCCGACAAAUGCUGCUGAAUUAAGGAGUUUCUUAGGACUAGUGAACUACUGUGGCAUAUUUAUCUUUAAUCUGGCAACCACAUCUGAAUCGAUGAGAAGACUCACAAAAGCAUCAUGCAAAUGGACAUGGGGAGAUGAACAAGAAUCAUAAUUGAAUGCGCAGAAGAACGCACUGGCCAGUUCACACAACAUGGCCUGCUUCAAUCAAGAUGCAGUGGACUAGCGGCUAUCUUGAGUCAGAAGCAAAAAUAUGUUUCACACAGGCCAGUGUACUACGCUUGCCGUGCUCUCAUAGAUGUAGAGUGACGCUAUUCUCAGACUGAAAGAGAGACACUCGCCAUAGCCUGGGCGUGCGAGAAGUUUCAUAUGUUUCUCCAAGGCAAAGACUUUGUAAUGGUAACCGACCACAAACCUUUAGACACUAUUUAUUCUCCAACAUCCAAACCACCAGCAAGGAUUGAUAGAUAGGCACUGAGAAUGCAGCCUUACAGAUUCAAUGUUGGAUACAAGCCUGGGCCUCAGAAUGCAGCCUACUCACUGUCACGGUUGACUCUUAACCCUCCGGCACUUCUACACUACGGGGACGACCACAUCUACUAUGUAGCCAAACACACAGUGACAUGUGCAUUCACCCAUGAGAGCUGGAACAAAUGUCAGCAAAGGACCCAGUUCUAGCUACUCUAUGAACAAGCAUCAGACAGGGUGAUUGGAGCACAUGCGACACUGCAUACCGACGUGUUCAAGAAGAACUCUCUAUUGUUGGACAGAUAGUUCUACGAAGCAACCACAUUAUUAUGUCACGAGCAGCUCAGAAAUGGACUUUGAUGUUAGCACACGAAGGGCAUCAGGGCAUCAGAGAAUAUGCACAAAAGUGUGGUGGCCAAACAUUGAUAAAGAGGUUGAACUGCUUGUGAAGUCCUGUCCAGCAUGUCAAGUCAAUGGCACACCACCAAAGCAGGUCCACACGGUCAGAACAGAGCUAGCUACGAGCUAAACCAUGGCAGAUCCUUGGCAGCCAUUGACAUGUGUGGGCCGUUUCCAACAGGAGAACAGCUCCUCGUAACAACAGACUACUACUCAAGAUGGGUUGAUGUGAGUAUCCUAAACCGCAUCACCACCGCCAAUAUAAUCAAAAGCCUAACGGUGACGUUCACAGUCCAUGGGUAUCCUGAGUCUAUUGUGACGGAUAAUGGCGCUCCUCUCACCGUGAGUGACUUCCGAGCAUACGUGGAGGAAAACGGGAUCCGACACCGCUGCAUCACUCCAUACUGGCCUCAGGCCAACGGCGAAGUUGAAAGGCAGAACAGGAGCUUGUCAAAGCAAUUUGCGCUGCUCAAUCAGAAGGGAAGGAUUGGCGCACAGAACUACAGACGUUUCUCCCGCCACACUCAGUCACAGGCUGCAGUCCAGCUGAACUGUUGUUCAACCGCCAAUUUAGAACCAAACUGCCAGAGCUGUCAGCCGACAUGCUGCCAGCAGCUGAACCACACGACAACGACAUUUGGCUUACUGAUGCUGAAAGGAAGGAGAAGGGCCGACAGAACGCUGACAGAACUAGGAGAGCCACUGAAAACACAAUCCAUCAAGGUGACAUGGUUCUGCUACAGCAACCAACGCAGAACAAGUUGUCUACUACCUUCAAACCAGAGCCAUACAGCGUCGUGGACAGGAAGGGGAACUAUAUUAUCCUGGAAAGGAUUAGCAAGAGGGCCAUGUGACAUGUUUCUUUUGUGAAACAGUGGAUACAACCACAGCCAAGACAAUGGACUACAUGUGACAAAGACACUGACCGGGCAGAGCCUGACACACUGCCUAGACAAAUGCCUGCACCUGACGAGGCCUUUCAACUACAGCCUCGACCCGAAGACUCAGACAACAAGUUGUGCACCUGAAGGACUAUGUUAGAUAGACAUGUUGCCAUAAUGGAGAAGAAUAAUCUCUGGCACAGUCUCAAUGGCAGGGCAGUCUAACCCUAGCCAUCACAGAAAAGUUCCGGCAAGAAUUAUUUUCAAAAAACAUUGUUAACAAAAGAGUUCCAGCAACGUAACCAGUGUUUUGGUUGGAAGUUUAAAGAAAGUAGAAGUAAACAUCGCAGUAUGUUGUUGUUGGAAAAUAUGUUAAUACUGUAUACAAGAGAUAAUUUAUUUUGAGUACUGGAUAAUGUUUUGUUACAUUAUAAUGCAUAGAUCUGCAGUUUGGAGAUGUGUUAUCAUAAUGGUUAGUCAAAUGUCUAAGAAGAGCAGGGAUGUAGUGUAUUAGCGACACCUAGUGAUGCAAUACCAGGGGGGCACUAGGGUUACGUGAGGAACGGAGGGAGGCUAUGCUUGGGGGACCAGGAAUAAAGUACAAGUCAAUGAUUCCCAUCAGUCUGAGUCAAGUCAAUACAUUACAGGUCCUGUCUAGAAUUCAAAAAGCUUUCAAUAAAGGACGUUGUCUGCUGGAUACAGGUGAAAGAGCGCAGCUGGAGGUGUGGGAGAACACAUAAGACUGGUAUGUGCAUGCUGAAUAAGCCAUGCAACAACUGUCAAGAACUCCACCUAACCAUUCUCCAUGACGCAGCUGAACAAAAACACACCAGUGUGCUGAUAACAGCCUCCCAUUCACAGCUACUCUACAUGCAAAGGUCAAGCUGAAAGUCGUCAACAUCCUAAUCCACAACGGUAAGAAAACACUCCAGACACAUGCCAUCCUGAAUGAAGGGUCAGAAAAAACAAUCCUUUCCCAUGCUCCCUCCAACUUGCCUACGGCUCUUUAACCCCCUUCUGGUCAACGGGCAUGGACUACUUCGGCACAUUCAAAGUCAAGAUAGGUGGAUGUACAGAAAAAACGAUGGGGGUAUACUGUUCAAACGCCUCACCACAUGGUCCAUCCAUCUUGAGCUGCUGGACAGUAUGGAUGCUGACACAUUCUUACUGAGGAGGCAAGCCCUUUGAGGUCCUGUCCGACCAAUGGACAUAUUUCUGUGUUGGAGAGACUGAAUUACAGACUGCCUUUUAGGCCAUGGCCCCAGCACUGCAGCAGCAGCUAGCCAACAAACAGGUCAACAUCCAUCUGCUCCUCACUUUGGUGGAAGCUGGGAGUGAGAUAUCAAAUCAGUAAAAACAGCCCUUCGUGUGGUGCUAGGCAACCAGUCAACAACAGAAGCAGUCUUGCACACUGUGUUGGUGGAGGUAGAGGGAAUCCUGAAAUCUUAACCACAUGUAUCCUCUUGCCUGCCUGACCCAGGUCUAGUUACAUAAAAUAUAGGGUGGUGUGAUUCCUCUCUCCCACAAGCCAUCUGUUGCUCUAGUGAUCUCCAUGGUCAUAGAUCAUAGCCAGAUUCUGUCCGACAACUUCUGGGCUGCCUUCAUAUGCAACUACCUUCCUUCUCUUCAGACCCGUCAAAAAUGUGAAACUGAUAGGGCAAACUUUGAUUUAUGCCAGAUUGCAAUUAUGGUGGAUCCUUAGCAGCCUCAGGCUUCAUGACCUAUACGAAAAAUAAUUGAAACAUAUCCUGGAGUGGUAUGGCCGGGUGCGGACUUCAAAGAUCUCAAUACAGGGUCAAGAGUAUGUCUGUCCAGUGGCCAGACUGGUUACGCUACCAACUAUCGAUGACCAUAAUGCACAGGACUAAAACACAGAUUUGCUGCUCAAAUCUGGAGGCUGUACUGAACUGUGCCUAUAACAUUUCAAAAUUCCCUGAAAUGGGAAAUAUCCAUUGCCGACUGGGCAUAGGGAGCUUUGUUCAUUUUUAUUACAUUUAUCUGACAAUUGGUUUCAUUUAUAUGGACAUUUCAUUGGAUCCUUUUGUAAUAUUAUUUAUGCACAUUUGUUAUUAUGAAAAUGUUAUUAAAUUAAUUGAUUGACUAUUAUUGUUGAUAAAAUAUAAUUUACUGCACUUUUUCAUCUCUUUUAG
RNAcentral lists this long non-coding RNA (6194 nucleotides) under Salmo salar (Atlantic salmon). RNAcentral describes it as "lncRNA (ENSSSAG00000103741.1)". Lineage: Eukaryota; Metazoa; Chordata; Actinopteri; Salmoniformes; Salmonidae. The record is from RNAcentral.